CCCCUCUCCUCCUUUCCCUCCCCAGCUUGCCAUGAAGGGCCCCCCCGGCCCCAUGGGGCUCACCGGCCGCCCGGGUCCUCUGGUGAGUGCUGCUGGCGUGGGGGCUGCUGCGGGACCCCCUUGGGGUGCCCACCUUGCACCGGGGUCUUUGGGCACCCCAGCAGACCCCCAGUGGCGGGGGCUCCACGCUCUCCGUUUUUUUUUAGGGUCUGCCAGGGCACCCGGGCCUGAAAGGGGACGCAGGGGACAUGGGGCCGCGGGUGAGUCUCGUAAGGUUGGGGGGCGGGGGCCGUUGGAAGCCUUCCUCUCCCCUCACCCCUCUUCUUCCUCUCCAUCAGGGUCCCCGGGGACUGCAGGGACCCCCGGGACCACCGGGGAAGCUGGGCAGACGGGGUCGCGCUGGAGCAGACGGUGCCAGGGGACUCCCGGGGGACACCGGACCCAAGGUGCUUGGGGUGCCAGGAUGCCCACGGCCCCCUUUUUUUUUUUGGGGAGGGGGCCGUGGGCUCAUCUUGUGCCCCACAGGGUGACCGGGGCUUCGAUGGUUUGCCGGGGCUACCGGGGGAGAAAGGCCACAGGGUAAGUGCCACCGCGCCGCGUCCCCUCCUGCCACCACCCGUCCCCGUGUCCCCUCACCUCCUCUCCGUCCCCUAGGGUGACGUGGGGAAGCCAGGACCUGCGGGCACCCCCGGGGAGAAAGGAGCCAGGGUGAGGAGCCUGAGGGGGGGGGGUCCGGGGAAGGAUCAGGCCCUGGUGGCGUGGGGGGGACACGCUCAGCUCCUCUCUGUCCCUCCCAGGGCUCCGACGGCUUGCCGGGACCGCGGGGACAACCGGGGGAACCCG
RNAcentral lists this long non-coding RNA (843 nucleotides) under Anas platyrhynchos platyrhynchos (common mallard). RNAcentral describes it as "lncRNA (ENSAPLG00000025641.1)". Lineage: Eukaryota; Metazoa; Chordata; Aves; Anseriformes; Anatidae. The record is from RNAcentral.